AUUGAACGCUGGCGGCAUGCCUUACACAUGCAAGUCGAACGGCAGCACGGGAGCAAUCCUGGUGGCGAGUGGCGAACGGGUGAGUAAUAUAUCGGAACGUGCCCAGUCGUGGGGGAUAACGUAGCGAAAGCUACGCUAAUACCGCAUACGAUCUAUGGAUGAAAGCGGGGGAUCGCAAGACCUCGCGCGAUUGGAGCGGCCGAUAUCAGAUUAGGUAGUUGGUGAGGUAAAGGCUCACCAAGCCGACGAUCUGUAGCUGGUCUGAGAGGACGACCAGCCACACUGGGACUGAGACACGGCCCAGACUCCUACGGGAGGCAGCAGUGGGGAAUUUUGGACAAUGGGCGCAAGCCUGAUCCAGCAAUGCCGCGUGCAGGAUGAAGGCCUUCGGUUGUAACGUAGCUUUUGUA
This 410-nucleotide ribosomal RNA is filed under the name uncultured bacterium. Its description in RNAcentral is "bacterial SSU rRNA". It matches the Rfam family "Bacterial small subunit ribosomal RNA", at positions 30 to 440 of the family's 1533-position model. The record is from RNAcentral.